Molecule: ribosomal RNA, 593 nt
Filed under: Vibrio parahaemolyticus
Lineage: Bacteria; Pseudomonadati; Pseudomonadota; Gammaproteobacteria; Vibrionales; Vibrionaceae
Description: bacterial SSU rRNA
Rfam family: Bacterial small subunit ribosomal RNA
Source: RNAcentral
AAAUUGAAGAGUUUGAUCAUGGCUCAGAUUGAACGCUGGCGGCAGGCCUAACACAUGCAAGUCGAGCGGAAACGAGUUAUCUGAACCUUCGGGGAACGAUAACGGCGUCGAGCGGCGGACGGGUGAGUAAUGCCUAGGAAAUUGCCCUGAUGUGGGGGAUAACCAUUGGAAACGAUGGCUAAUACCGCAUGAUGCCUACGGGCCAAAGAGGGGGACCUUCGGGCCUCUCGCGUCAGGAUAUGCCUAGGUGGGAUUAGCUAGUUGGUGAGGUAAGGGCUCACCAAGGCGACGAUCCCUAGCUGGUCUGAGAGGAUGAUCAGCCACACUGGAACUGAGACACGGUCCAGACUCCUACGGGAGGCAGCAGUGGGGAAUAUUGCACAAUGGGCGCAAGCCUGAUGCAGCCAUGCCGCGUGUGUGAAGAAGGCCUUCGGGUUGUAAAGCACUUUCAGUCGUGAGGAAGGCAGUGUAGUUAAUAGCUGCAUUAUUUGACGUUAGCGACAGAAGAAGCACCGGCUAACUCCGUGCCAGCAGCCGCGGUAAUACGGAGGGUGCGAGCGUUAAUCGGAAUUACUGGGCGUAAAGCGCAUGCA